UUGCUCACUUCGACGGCACAUCCACUAAAGUUGGAAUGAUACAGAGAAGAUUAGCACGACCCCUGUGCAACAAUGACAUGGGAACUUGUGAAGCAUUUUGUAUUUUU
Cercocebus atys (sooty mangabey) is the source of this 107-nucleotide small nuclear RNA. NCBI's taxonomy places the organism in Eukaryota, Metazoa, Chordata, Mammalia, Primates, Cercopithecidae. The record is from Ensembl.